GGGAACUGAAACAUCUAAGUACCCCGAGGAAAAGAAAUCAACCGAGAUUCCCCCAGUAGCGGCGAGCGAACGGGGAGCAGCCCAGAGCCUGAAUCAGUGUGUGUGUUAGUGGAAGCGUCUGGAAAGGCGCGCGAUACAGGGUGACAGCCCCGUACACAAAAAUGCACAUGCUGUGAGCUCGAUGAGUAGGGCGGGACACGUGGUAUCCUGUCUGAAUAUGGGGGGACCAUCCUCCAAGGCUAAAUACUCCUGACUGACCGAUAGUGAACCAGUACCGUGAGGGAAAGGCGAAAAGAACCCCGGCGAGGGGAGUGAAAAAGAACCUGAAACCGUGUACGUACAAGCAGUGGGAGCACGCUUAGGCGUGUGACUGCGUACCUUUUGUAUAAUGGGUCAGCGACUUAUAUUCUGUAGCAAGGUUAACCGAAUAGGGGAGCCGAAGGGAAACCGAGUCUUAACUGGGCGUUAAGUUGCAGGGUAUAGACCCGAAACCCGGUGAUCUAGCCAUGGGCAGGUUGAAGGUUGGGUAACACUAACUGGAGGACCGAACCGACUAAUGUUGAAAAAUUAGCGGAUGACUUGUGGCUGGGGGUGAAAGGCCAAUCAAACCGGGAGAUAGCUGGUUCUCCCCGAAAGCUAUUUAGGUAGCGCCUCGUGAAUUCAUCUCCGGGGGUAGAGCACUGUUUCGGCAAGGGGGUCAUCCCGACUUACCAACCCGAUGCAAACUGCGAAUACCGGAGAAUGUUAUCACGGGAGACACACGGCGGGUGCUAACGUCCGUCGUGAAGAGGGAAACAACCCAGACCGCCAGCUAAGGUCCCAAAGUCAUGGUUAAGUGGGAAACGAUGUGGGAAGGCCCAGACAGCCAGGAUGUUGGCUUAGAAGCAGCCAUCAUUUAAAGAAAGCGUAAUAGCUCACUGGUCGAGUCGGCCUGCGCGGAAGAUGUAACGGGGCUAAACCAUGCACCGAAGCUGCGGCAGCGACGCUUAUGCGUUGUUGGGUAGGGGAGCGUUCUGUAAGCCUGUGAAGGUGUGCUGUGAGGCAUGCUGGAGGUAUCAGAAGUGCGAAUGCUGACAUAAGUAACGAUAAAGCGGGUGAAAAGCCCGCUCGCCGGAAGACCAAGGGUUCCUGUCCAACGUUAAUCGGGGCAGGGUGAGUCGACCCCUAAGGCGAGGCCGAAAGGCGUAGUCGAUGGGAAACAGGUUAAUAUUCCUGUACUUGGUGUUACUGCGAAGGGGGGACGGAGAAGGCUAUGUUGGCCGGGCGACGGUUGUCCCGGUUUAAGCGUGUAGGCUGGUUUUCCAGGCAAAUCCGGAAAAUCAAGGCUGAGGCGUGAUGACGAGGCACUACGGUGCUGAAGCAACAAAUGCCCUGCUUCCAGGAAAAGCCUCUAAGCAUCAGGUAACAUCAAAUCGUACCCCAAACCGACACAGGUGGUCAGGUAGAGAAUACCAAGGCGCUUGAGAGAACUCGGGUGAAGGAACUAGGCAAAAUGGUGCCGUAACUUCGGGAGAAGGCACGCUGAUAUGUAGGUGAGGUCCCUCGCGGAUGGAGCUGAAAUCAGUCGAAGAUACCAGCUGGCUGCAACUGUUUAUUAAAAACACAGCACUGUGCAAACACGAAAGUGGACGUAUACGGUGUGACGCCUGCCCGGUGCCGGAAGGUUAAUUGAUGGGGUUAGCGCAAGCGAAGCUCUUGAUCGAAGCCCCGGUAAACGGCNNNNNNNNNNNNNCUUGUCGGGUAAGUUCCGACCUGCACGAAUGGCGUAAUGAUGGCCAGGCUGUCUCCACCCGAGACUCAGUGAAAUUGAACUCGCUGUGAAGAUGCAGUGUACCCGCGGCAAGACGGAAAGACCCCGUGAACCUUUACUAUAGCUUGACACUGAACAUUGAGCCUUGAUGUGUAGGAUAGGUGGGAGGCUUUGAAGUGUGGACGCCAGUCUGCAUGGAGCCGACCUUGAAAUACCACCCUUUAAUGUUUGAUGUUCUAACGUUGACCCGUAAUCCGGGUUGCGGACAGUGUCUGGUGGGUAGUUUGACUGGGGCGGUCUCCUCCUAAAGAGUAACGGAGGAGCACGAAGGUUGGCUAAUCCUGGUCGGACAUCAGGAGGUUAGUGCAAUGGCAUAAGCCAGCUUGACUGCGAGCGUGACGGCGCGAGCAGGUGCGAAAGCAGGUCAUAGUGAUCCGGUGGUUCUGAAUGGAAGGGCCAUCGCUCAACGGAUAAAAGGUACUCCGGGGAUAACAGGCUGAUACCGCCCAAGAGUUCAUAUCGACGGCGGUGUUUGGCACCUCGAUGUCGGCUCAUCACAUCCUGGGGCUGAAGUAGGUCCCAAGGGUAUGGCUGUUCGCCAUUUAAAGUGGUACGCGAGCUGGGUUUAGAACGUCGUGAGACAGUUCGGUCCCUAUCUGCCGUGGGCGCUGGAGAACUGAGGGGGGCUGCUCCUAGUACGAGAGGACCGGAGUGGACGCAUCACUGGUGUUCGGGUUGUCAUGCCAAUGGCACUGCCCGGUAGCUAAAUGCGGAAGAGAUAAGUGCUGAAAGCAUCUAAGCACGAAACUUGCCCCGAGAUGAGUUCUCCCUGACUCCUUGAGAGUCCUGAAGGAACGUUGAAGACGACGACGUUGAUAGGCCGGGUGUGUAAGCGCAGCGAUGCGUUGAGCUAACCGGUACUAAUGAACCGUGAGGCUUAACC
This 2693-nucleotide ribosomal RNA is filed under the name Staphylococcus aureus. Its description in RNAcentral is "bacterial LSU rRNA". It matches the Rfam family "Bacterial large subunit ribosomal RNA". The record is from RNAcentral. Lineage: Bacteria; Bacillati; Bacillota; Bacilli; Caryophanales; Staphylococcaceae.